RNAcentral lists this unclassified non-coding RNA (243 nucleotides) under Hevea brasiliensis (rubber tree). The record is from RNAcentral. Lineage: Eukaryota; Viridiplantae; Streptophyta; Magnoliopsida; Malpighiales; Euphorbiaceae.
AUUAAAAUGAGUCUAAUUUUAAAAAGAUUAUAACAAUUGAAGAUCGACUUAGUUUUAAAAAUUUAGAGACUCAAAUAUAAUAAAAAAAAUCUCAUUAUUUUAUAAAAUGUAUUAAAAUGCAAUGUUAGCGAUUAGCAAAUGAUAAUAAAAUAUAAUUUUAGCAAAUGGAAGAAAUAAAAAUGCUAAAUUUAAAACAAGAACCUAAGCGUAAUUUUUUAUAAAAUUUUUAAGUAACUUAUUGUA